UACGUAGGGUGCGAGCGUUAAUCGGAAUUACUGGGCGUAAAGCGUGCGCAGGCGGUCUGUUAAGACAGAUGUGAAAUCCCCGGGCUCAACCUGGGAACUGCAUUUGUGACUGCAUCGCUGGAGUGCGGCAGAGGGGGAUGGAAUUCCGCGUGUAGCAGUGAAAUGCGUAGAUAUGCGGAGGAACACCGAUGGCGAAGGCAAUCCCCUGGACCUGUACUGACGCUCAUGCACGAAAGCGUGGGGAGCAAACAGG
This 253-nucleotide ribosomal RNA is filed under the name uncultured bacterium. Its description in RNAcentral is "partial 16S ribosomal RNA". It matches the Rfam family "Bacterial small subunit ribosomal RNA", at positions 524 to 776 of the family's 1533-position model. The record is from RNAcentral.